AUACGGAGGGGAUUAGCGUUGUUCGGAAUUACUGGGCGUAAAGAGUUCGUAGGCGGAUAAGCAAGUAAGAGGUGGAAGCCCAGGGCUCAACCCUGGAACUGCCUUUUAAACUGCUUAUCUAGAGACCGGUAGAGGUUAGGGGAAUACCUAGUGUAGAGGUGAAAUUCGUAGAUAUUAGGUGGAACACCAGUGGCGAAGGCGCCUAACUGGACCGGUACUGACGCUGAGGAACGAAAGCGUGGGGAGCAAACAGGAUUAGAAACCCCAGUAGUCC
This 274-nucleotide ribosomal RNA is filed under the name uncultured bacterium. RNAcentral describes it as "partial 16S ribosomal RNA". It matches the Rfam family "Bacterial small subunit ribosomal RNA", at positions 523 to 796 of the family's 1533-position model. The record is from RNAcentral.